This 22-nucleotide non-coding RNA is filed under the name Arabidopsis thaliana (thale cress). Lineage: Eukaryota; Viridiplantae; Streptophyta; Magnoliopsida; Brassicales; Brassicaceae. The record is from RNAcentral.
CCGUCACUCCAAAUCCGUCUUG